GGCAGACUAAAACCACAACGUCCUGUUGCAACGUCUGCACUUGUACGUCCUGUA
Molecule: small RNA, 54 nt
Filed under: Oceanobacillus jeddahensis
Lineage: Bacteria; Bacillati; Bacillota; Bacilli; Caryophanales; Bacillaceae
Description: Bacillaceae-1 RNA
Rfam family: Bacillaceae-1 RNA
Source: RNAcentral